AACUCCAUGUUGGAGAAGCAGAGCACGUGCAAACCAAAAAACAUGAAAUCUGUUUCAUAUGCUUUGCACGUGCUCCCCUCCUCCAACAUGAGCUC
This 95-nucleotide microRNA precursor is filed under the name Brassica oleracea var. oleracea. RNAcentral describes it as "pre miRNA MIR164". It matches the Rfam family "MIR164 microRNA precursor family". Lineage: Eukaryota; Viridiplantae; Streptophyta; Magnoliopsida; Brassicales; Brassicaceae. The record is from RNAcentral.